UGGGGAAUUUUGGACAAUGGGCGAAAGCCUGAUCCAGCAAUGCCGCGUGUGUGAAGAAGGCCUUCGGGUUGUAAAGCACUUUUGUCCGGAAAGAAAUCCUUGGCUCUAAUACAGUCGGGGGAUGACGGUACCGGAAGAAUAAGCACCGGCUAACUACGUGCCAGCAGCCGCGGUAAUACGUAGGGUGCAAGCGUUAAUCGGAAUUACUGGGCGUAAAGCGUGCGCAGGCGGUUUGCUAAGACCGAUGUGAAAUCCCCGGGCUCAACCUGGGAACUGCAUUGGUGACUGGCAGGCUAGAGUAUGGCAGAGGGGGGUAGAAUUCCACGUGUAGCAGUGAAAAUGCGUAGAGAUGUGGAGGAAUACCGAUGGCGAAGGCAGCCCCCUGGGCCAAUACUGACGCUCAUGCACGAAAGCGUGGGGAGCAAAACAGGAUUAGAUACCCUGGUAGUCCACGCCCUAAAACGAUGUCAACUAGUUGUUGGGGGAUUCAUUUCCUUAGUAACGUAGCUAACGCGUGAAGUUGACCGCCUGGGGAGUACGGUCGCAAGAUUAAAAACUUAAAUGAAUUGACGGGGUCAUAGCUGUUUCCU
RNAcentral lists this ribosomal RNA (590 nucleotides) under uncultured bacterium. RNAcentral's name for it is "partial 16S ribosomal RNA". It matches the Rfam family "Bacterial small subunit ribosomal RNA", at positions 355 to 1375 of the family's 1533-position model. The record is from RNAcentral.